AACGAACGCUGGCGGCAUGCCUAACACAUGCAAGUCGAACGAGACCUUCGGGUCUAGUGGCGCACGGGUGCGUAACGCGUGGGAACCUGCCCUUAGGUUCGGAAUAACUCCCCGAAAGGGGUGCUAAUACCGGAUAAUGUCUUCGGACCAAAGAUUUAUCGCCUUUGGAUGGGCCCGCGUUGGAUUAGCUAGUUGGUAGGGUAAAAGCCUACCAAGGCGACGAUCCAUAGCUGGUCUGUGAGGAUGAUCAGCCACACUGGGACUGAGACACGGCCCAGACUCCUACGGGAGGCAGCAGUGGGGAAUAGUGGACAAUGGGCGAAAGCCUGAUCCAGCAAUGCCGCGUGAGUGAUGAAGGCCUUAGGGUUGUAAAGCUCUUUUACCCGGGAUGAUAAUGACAGUACCGGGAGAAUAAGCUCCGGCUAACUCCGUG
This 433-nucleotide ribosomal RNA is filed under the name uncultured bacterium. Its description in RNAcentral is "partial 16S ribosomal RNA". It matches the Rfam family "Bacterial small subunit ribosomal RNA", at positions 29 to 507 of the family's 1533-position model. The record is from RNAcentral.